RNAcentral lists this long non-coding RNA (330 nucleotides) under Elaeis guineensis (African oil palm). Its description in RNAcentral is "long non-coding RNA (EGUI_LNC073167)". Lineage: Eukaryota; Viridiplantae; Streptophyta; Magnoliopsida; Arecales; Arecaceae. The record is from RNAcentral.
GUAUGUAGUUGGUAGUUGAUGAUUCUGAUAUACCGACCGGCUAUCGGUUUCUCUUAUUUUAUAUCAAGGGAUCAUCAAUAGUACAGUGUAUCGAAUUAUUUGGAUGGAUUGCCGCUUUGGAAGAUGGUCGGGAGUUAUUGAUAGGCAUUUGGCUUAUCGAUGGGCAGUAGGUCAUUUUUCGUAUUCUAUGAUGUCAAUAGGAUGUUGGGAUGAUGAAUUCUAUAGAUGCUACAGUCAAAUCAAUAAUUUUUAUGACGGUUUUGUUUGGAUGACUAAUUGAAUCUUUUGAUCUAACAUCCGUGGCUGACAUGGAAUCGGAGGACCUAACAC